Long non-coding RNA from Balaenoptera ricei (Rice's whale), 326 nucleotides. RefSeq lists it as uncharacterized. Lineage: Eukaryota; Metazoa; Chordata; Mammalia; Artiodactyla; Balaenopteridae. The transcript has 4 exons. The record is from RefSeq and is a predicted model, not a curated record.
AGAGUGGGGCGAGGGAAGGAAGAGAAAACCUUCAGCGAGGGUAGUCGAAAAGAAGAGUCCUGCGGUAGAAAGCCACUCUAGGAGUAGGAGAGACACAGCCUUCACUGAAUGGCCAGAUCUCCAUGGAAGCAAAAUCGAAACCUGAUUCUUUUCCGUUAUGGGUUAUUACAAGAUAUUGAAUAUAGUCCCCUGUGCUAUACAAUUCAUGUAUCUACCACCACAGUCAAGAUACAGAACAGUUCCACACCACAAGGAUUCCUCAAGUUGCCUUUUUAUAACCACACCCACCUCCCUCUGAUCUCCCCUUCUCAUUAUAUAAAAAAAAG